This 1995-nucleotide long non-coding RNA is filed under the name Mus musculus (house mouse). RNAcentral describes it as "long non-coding RNA chr2:84715760-84717755". The record is from RNAcentral. Lineage: Eukaryota; Metazoa; Chordata; Mammalia; Rodentia; Muridae.
AUUCGGUCGGGCAGCCCCUCCAACACACACACUUUUUUUUUUUUUUUUUUUCUUUAAGGACUGAAACUUUAUUUAAAACAAUCCGUUGGCGAAAGCGUCAGUGGGGUAAAUUCUCAGACCGUGGCAGAAUUCCUGAGUGGUGGUAUGGCCUCACCUAUGGAGGAAGGAGGCGCACGGCCCAUUGAACAGUCUGAGGAGAGGGUUCUGUCCAAGGCUGGGUUAGAUGAAGGAGCUCGGCUGCUAUCCCUAGAUUUACAGUGCUUGCCGAUGGAGUGAAGCACUGGGAGUGCGCGGUGCGAGGCGUAGACACCUCCACGACUACACGAGGAAUGGGCGCCCUGACCUCACCCAAUUUGAGAAAGCAGGCUGAAAAGAAAAGUCUUUCUAGAAUAGCUCCUGUCCCUGGCGAGCUGCUGGCUAACUCUCCGAAGAUCGCGGCACUACAUUUUGCCCUAAUUAAGCCGAGACGGCUGUGGACCCGGUGGCUUUGCCAUAGGGCUCUCCUCUUACAGCUUCAGGCCACCUCUCAUUUGUAAAGGAGCUCUGUUACAUAACAGCCCUUCAAAAAGAUAUCCCCGAGCCGCUUCCCUGAAGCGAAGGUCUCGUUCAGGGUUAUUUCCAAGUCCUGUCAUUGUUUCCUUGACUUCACUUCAAAUGUUACUGAUUUAACUUUGACACUUCAGCCUUAGGCAUCCAGUUAAAGAAAAGAAAAAAAAAAAUCUACCCUUUUUUCUUUAGACUCUAGUCUUAUCCCUUAUCAUUUUUACUACUGGCUUAAAUGCAGCGUUUAUUGGAACCGUUACGAGCAUACAUGUUUUAAGGAGUGGAACUUUAUUUUGAAAAAUCCGUUGGCGAAGACGUCUGUGGGGUAAAUUCUCAGACCAUGGCAGAAUGGUGGUAUGGCCUGGGCUGUGGCUCACACAUCACACAUGGAGGAAGUAGGUAGCACGGCCAAUAGAGCGGUCUAAGGAGAGAAUUUUUAAAAAUCUUCAGCAUUAUGAAUAAUUUUAAAGUAUUAUUUGGAGGUACAACAUUUACCCUAUCAAGUAUAUUCUGCCUAUAAAAUAAUGUUUCCUUAAGAUGGGUCAAAUUUCAUUUAUUUCUCUAGGAUUUUAAAGCUUUAUUUUCUCUACUUAACAAGUGAAGCAUUCUUGAUUUUCCUACCUUUUUAAAUAGGAAAACUAUUUGUUUGAGACAGAGAGAGAGAGAGAGAGAGAGAGAGAGAGAGAGAGAGAGAGAGAGAGAAGGCAGACAGAGUUCAGGCAGCUUUUGGGUGUUGGUUCUCUCUUGGCUUACAGAUAGGAGCUCAAGUUGUCAGUCACGCCUAGGAAGUCCUUUCACCCACUGACCCAUCCUGCCAACCCAAUUUUUCUACAAAGACCUGUGUGAAUCAUCAUGUCUUUUGGCCAGAGCAUACUAAAUGGAAAAAGGGUUCCAUCAUCCAACCAGAGGUACUGAAUACCUCAGGGUCACUAGGGACAUUAGACUACUGGAUUGUCAGCCUAAUUUUAGCUGGAUGAGCACUAGCAGAAGCAUAAUCACUGUCCCAAGAUAUAGUGACAAUUUUAGAUUUUGGUUUCUUUUUUUUUGGAGGGUGGGGAGGGUUGAGACAGGGUUUCUCUGUAUACUCUUGGCUGUCCUGGAACUCACUUUGUAGACCAGGCUGGCCCCAAACUCAGAAAUCUGCCUGCCUCUGCUACCGCGCCCUGCUGGAUUUUGGUUUCUUUAAAAAACACAAAAAUAUAAGACUGUGUUUUCCUUUUAAUUCCAGAUGUAGGAAUAAGGUGCUGCUUUGGACUCUCUCCAGCAGCUGACUGACUGCCCAGUGCAUUAUCAGAGGCAUGGUUUUGCCAGCUCCAGACAGUUUCUGUGAUUGUGUGAUGUUUGGAAUUCUAGGAACUUUUCAGAGGGUAUAUAAAUGCUAGCGCCCUGGUAUUGGUGGUUGUUGGUCAUUCAGGUUGUGGUUUGUUAGUAGUAGUGCUCAAAGAAGAAACG